Molecule: non-coding RNA, 5727 nt
Organism: Oncorhynchus mykiss (rainbow trout)
Lineage: Eukaryota; Metazoa; Chordata; Actinopteri; Salmoniformes; Salmonidae
Source: RefSeq, a predicted model, not a curated record
AUAACACCCAAGGAUGAAGAAGACAUUACAAAUAGUGGUAAUUUAUAGCAAAUAUGCAGUUAUUAUAAUUUACUUUACCAUUUUUCUUGUUUGGUCAAUUUAUUUUUGGUUUGAGGAAAAUAAGAGUGUAUAUUUUUCCUGAGGAGGGACUGAUAUAAAUUGACUAAAAAUGAUUUGAGAAUGUUUAAGUAUGUAUCAAACUAUGGAAGGAAAUUAGAAGUAGUGACUUAUGUGUUAUGGGUUAGAAAAACUGUAACUACAUUGGGGGCUCAUAUGAAGGUUAUGGUAACAAGGGGGGGGUGUUAUUUCUAGAAACAGUGUAUAUUGAUAGACAAGAUAAUUCACAGAAAAGGAAGGACAGUUGGUCUUGUAAAAAUAUAGGGACAAUUCUAAAAGUAGAUAGAACAUUACACACACCUAGAUUAUGGUAAAAGUAAUAAGUAGUGGCAUUUUGAAGAAGCUUAGGACUUAGUUUUGUUAGGAUUGGAUAUUCUUCCAACUAGAAAACACUUGACUGAUUACAUGCAAUUCUUGCAGCAGUUACGGUAGGGACCAUAAUUUGGCUAUCAUUAUGAAUAUUUUUGUGGGAGGAGGCCAGGUAUUUAAGACAGAAUGUUUACAUAGGGCUGUUAUUUAAAAAUUAAGAUUUAGUGAUCCUGCUAUAAGAAGAAAGUCUGUUGUCAGGAAAUAACCCAUGUGUUAGUGUGUAUGUCCUCAGGAAAAAACAGCACAUAAGAGGCCAGAUGGAAGGGCAUAGACUGAAUUCUGGAGACUGAGUGUACAUCAAGAUACAUCGGGCUGGGGAUAUACUUCUUACAGCACCUGCAGUGGUAAAGAUUGUCAUGUCUCUCUUUGGUGGGUGCAUAAGUCUCACAAGAAGUAAAGUCCAGCUGAAUAAUGGGUGAGCUUGAAAACACCAUGACAGAGGACGUGAAACAAAACAAAAGAGAGAGACUAGAUUCUACUGUAGACAUACUGGGUUGAGUUUGGGGGUUAUUUGUUUUAUUUGAUAAUGUAUCAUGUGAAUAAGGAUAUAUGUUAGGGUAGUUGUACUCUAAACCACAUGUUGAAGGCUCAAUGUGGAAGCCCAUUCCGUGUUAAAUUACUUUAAGAAGGAAUAAUGUUGAUUAAGGUUAUGCACAUGUUUAUCAGUUGAAACAGAGCAGAUGGGGAACUAAGUAAAAAAUGACAUGGUUUGGGAACACCUCUCAGAACCUGCGGCCGAAAGGGGAAGACUGGAUGAAAGCACGAGGAAGCCAAUUAGGGCCUCCAUUUUUGUGGAGUCCAGCAGAAAAGUAUCCUGGAGGCAUAGAGUCAGUCUUAUGUUUAGGAAACCAGAUGGAGAAGGGUUCUCCAGCUUCAGCUGGAAUGUCAGUUUGUGUGAUGAGUGAUGGAAGUAAGAGAAUGUAUGGUGUAAUCAUAGAACAGAGGCCAUAAGUCUCUAAGUAUGAAUGCCCCAUAGAAAGAAGGCAGAAAUCUGAACCAGGAUGAGAGGUUCCACAUCUGAUGAUCCAAGGGGACCAGAAGGAUCUCUCCCAGUGAUACCAGGAGAUCGAGUCUACGUUUGAGUGUUCCGAAGGAAGUGGGAUCAGCCGAGGAGGGAAGGACCCUACGAGGUGGCAACAGCCACAAACACGGCCGUCCAAGUGAAAGGAAGCAAGACGUGGUAUCAUCUAAACCACUGCACCCGAGUCCCGACGGAGAGAAGGACACAACCAUACAGAGAUGAGGACACAGAGGAUGCUGAUUCACCAGAAGGGACCCCGGAGGGAGCAGGAGCAGCGGAAUCGAUCAAAGCGCCGGGGAGGAAUCAAGAAAAUGGCAGACCAGAUACAACGAGUGCAUCGGCUAACACACUCAGAAGAACCGACCAGGGAAAAAGAGCCUGAAAAGAAAAGAGACAAACAACCAAAGUUUCCUCCAGUAUGGCCAGAAAGCCCAGAAGUGGGAGGGGGUAACAUGUCUGCCACUCCUGAUGAUAUACUUGUUGGGGCAGGCUUUGUUGACGGAAGCCUUCUACAGUGGGACCCCGAGGUAUCGCCUAAAGAAGGGGAACAUCUCUUCCCUGAAAUGGACGCCUUCCCAGAUGGAAGCCCAGUUCGGGCUGAGGAGGGAACAACAUGCGAAGAGAGUGGAGGAGAAGCCUUAUCAGGAACAACAAGUGAAGAAAGCAGAGGAGAAGCCUUACCAAGAGCAGAAGGAGAAAUCUUGCAAGAUGAAAGAAAUGGGGAUUUCCCCAAAAUUGACUUUUCAGCUCUUGAAUUGUCUCCAUAAUGAACAAUUGAAGUUAGACCCAUAGAAGAACAAUGAUAUUGACAUAACAGAAGUAACAGUGAACGCUAGAAUAGCAACAACAGACUCACGCACAAUCAAGAUGUAGGGUGGAAACAGGAAGAGAAGAGAGGAACCAGUCAAACAAUCUAAAAAGACUGACAAGGUUAGAAUCUCUGUCCCACCUCAACAUAUAACUGAAACAGAAGAAUAGAAGACAAAAGGAUCAAACCCUUACCGGAGAUUGCAUUCGGUGGAUGGACAUAUCAUCGAACGAAGAGAGAAGUCAUUUGGGACUCAAAAGGAUGUGACCUGACGUUAACCAAAGAAGUAGACGAGUGGGUGCUCACCAUGAAUCAGAUUGAACCAGUUGAAGGUGAAGAAUUAAUAGGUGAAAUAAUGAGAACAAGAUUGGCUGAAGGGAGUAGUUCCUCAGUCAUUCAGAAUUGGUCUUACGCCAAUACCUAAACAGGAAGAGCCUGCGGUAGCUAGAAAGCAUCAGAACCAGGAGGGUUCUUUACUGACAUUUUGAACUUUUUGACUAACUUUAAUGACCUACCUCAAGAUAAGAACAUUGCAAAGAUGACAGACAGACAUACCAGACUCUGAACCACUCAAGGACACCACAUGAAAAGAAUAGUGAAGAAUGAGUGGUACGAAUGGGCUAAGUAUACAGCAGAAAUAAACAUAGAAUGGACAAUUGUAUUUUGUGUAGAAAAUCACCUUUGUCUGAUCUUUUGAUAGUACCUGAACCUGCAUCAUUUGAAGAAUGUGUUAAAUGUAAAAUGUUCAAUAUUCAGAGAAAAUACUACAUUCCCUUGUGUGACAUAGAAUGUAGGAUUGCUCGAGGGAGCACUAGAGGCAGAACCAUGUUAAACGAGACUGGAUUAGGAGACAAGGAUUGUGCUGCCUAUGACAUUAAAACUGAAUUAAAUGGACCUCAAUUAGACAGAAGUACUGUGGUUAAAGGUAAAUAUGAAGGUUUUUACAGCCAUAACACCGAAGGAAUUGGUGUAGGAAACACCACUGUAGAAUGUGAUACUAUUUGGGUACUAGAGACUGCAGGGGUUCGUAGGAAUAAAGAUAAAGGGUUGGUGACGAAUAGAAAAGGGUUGUGUGGUAAAAUAACUCAGGUUGCGCCAUCUCUUAUUAUGCUAAAAAAUCAGGACAGAAGUAUUGCGGAUAGUUUCUGGAUGUGUGGGAAUGACAAACUGUUGAAUGUACUGUACUGCCAGAUGGAUGGACGGGUCUUUGUACCUUAGUUAGAGCAAUUCAACAGGUAGUCAUCAUGGGGUGAUUUAAUAAUGGUUAUGUUAACUCUAGAGUUAAGAGGGCGUAUGAGAAAGACACUGAGGUAUACUUUGAUGCAAUUGGACAGCCUAGAGGGGUACCUCGGGAGUUCAAGGCAAGAGAUGAAGUUAGAUCUGGAUUUGAAUCUAUAUUUUUGUGGAUAACACCAAAUAAGAAUUUAGAGUGGAUUAAUUACAUAUACUAUAACCAACAGAGAUUCAUUAACUAUAUUGACUCGGCUUUAACGGCGUUGGGGGAACAGGUACAGGAUACCAGUAAAAUGUCUUGCCAAAAUAGACAGGCUCUCAAUUGGCUUUUUGCAGAGAAGGGUGGAGUUUGUUAUGUUCGGGGAUGAUUGUUGCACCUUUAUUCCCAAUAACACUGCGCCUAAUGGAUUCUUUGCUGUCGCUAUGGCUAAACUUAAAGGGUUAAGAAAAGAGGUUAAGAAAAAUGCUGGGGUGGACUCUCAUGUUUGGGAUUGGUUGGACUUAGCAUUGGGGAAAUAGGGAGCCAUGUUUGCUAGGACGGCCUUUAUGCUGGAAGGGGGGUUAUUGGCUCUGGGUAUUGUAUUUUGUUGUGUUUUACCCUGGGUGAAAUCACUUGUGAUCCAGACAACGGUUAAACAGAUGUUUGUAAGUAGAGCUGACACUCCGGUGAUAGUUGAUCCUGUGCCGGGUAGGCCAGGCCACUAUACUGAUGAAAAUGGACAGUUAUGCUGUCAUUCCAAAUUCAUAAGAAAGUCAACUGAUGCAUAUCCACAAAAAGGGUCAUUUCCGUAGUAAGUACAAGAGGUGUUAUGUAAGGUCUACUUUUGCUCACGGCCUUGUGUUUUAGUAUGUUUUGUCAAAUGUUUUUAUAGGUAUAUCAAUGAAUAUAUCUGGUUUCUUUUAAUUAAAAGUUAGUUUUGCCUUCUAAAAUGCUAGGUUAUAUUUAAAAACAUGUAGGUAACAGUGGGAUAUCCCGGUUACAAGUGUCUACGGACCAUGUCCUUAAUCUUCUAACAGAGAUUGGUAUUGAUGGUAUCACGGUUGUUGGAGAGGUGUCUGAGAGGGAGAAUCAUGUGGAAAGCUUAAAUUUAGAAUGAUGUGUCAAUUUUAUUUUGUAACUACAUGGAGGCCUAGUGUUUUCUCAUAUUCAAUUUAUUAUUUGACUCAUUGCUUUAUUAUAUAUAUUUUUAUUUUUUGCGUAGCUGAGAACCUCAGACAAGGUUAUGUAUUUACAUGCUCAUGCUUUAACAAAAGAUAAUGUAUUAUUUUUUGUUUCUAUACCGAACUAGAUAUUUUACUCUUAUGAAAUACUAGAGAUGUUUGGUGUAGGUGAUUAGGAAGUUUUAUUUUUUUAUUAUUUUUUAUUUUUUUAUUUAAAAAUAUUUUUUUUGAUAAUCGACUGUUGAUAUUAUGUUCCAUAUGUCCUUUUUAAGUUUUUGGUGCUUAUUAAAGCACCAGAGGGGGGUUAUGUGGGAGAAAUUAGGUACAUAUAUGGAUAAAUAUAUUGUCCUAUAUAAUGGCAUUUGCCAUUCUGGUAAGGUACAUUGUCUAUUGUAUAGGACAGGAAGCCAGAGUGGGGCCAUGGGAGAGGGCAACACCUAGGGCAGCUGGACAUACAAAGGUCAGAGGUUAUCUAAGGAGGGGGUCAGCCAAAGGACCAAUUGAUGGAUUACAGACAUCAAUCACAUCACAGGAGACAAGUCUGUUUGAUCUUAGACAACCAUAUGAAGAGAAGGCGACCAGAACAGCUAGGCACCCUAAAGCUAAAGGAGAUGAAAGACACCAAAAGGGACACAUGGAGUUAAUUACAGGGUAUGAACACAGGCCACAGGAAAGGGGAAUGUAUAGUAUUUUUAGUAUAGCUGAGCAUGCUAAAAACAGAAGAGACACAUAGUCUGCUGACCCUAGAUAACACACAAACAGGAGAACGCAUUAAGCUGAGUGAAGGGUCAAAGCAAGGGUCUUGUCACCAUUAGGAUCUAAUGGAAAGCAGAUGGGGGCGUUAUUGGGCUGAACAAGCAGGAAGCACGGAUUGGGAUGUAACUUAAUUUGCAUAUGGGAGGGACUUAUAUGGUAGGUGUAUAACUCAGAGCGAGGGCUCUGAAAAAGUGUGUGUGUUCCGCGGACCGCUCCGGCUUAUGAUACUGUUGUAUUAAAAGUCUAUAUUGAUUUUCACAAA